RNAcentral lists this ribosomal RNA (440 nucleotides) under uncultured bacterium. RNAcentral describes it as "partial 16S ribosomal RNA". It matches the Rfam family "Bacterial small subunit ribosomal RNA", at positions 338 to 795 of the family's 1533-position model. The record is from RNAcentral.
CCUACGGGUGGCUGCAGUGGGGAAUAUUGCACAAUGGGGGGAACCCUGAUGCAGCGACGCCGCGUGAGUGAAGAAGUAUUUCGGUAUGUAAAGCUCUAUCAGCAGGGAAGAAAAUGACGGUACCUGACUAAGAAGCCCCGGCUAACUACGUGCCAGCAGCCGCGGUAAUACGUAGGGGGCAAGCGUUAUCCGGAUUUACUGGGUGUAAAGGGAGCGUAGACGGCAAGGCAAGUCAGGAGUGAAAGCCCGUGGCCCAACCCCGGGACUGCUUUGGAAACUGGGUUGCUGGAGUGCAGGAGGGGGAAGCGGAAUUCCUGGUGUAGCGGUGAAAUGCGUAGAUAUUAGGAGGAACACCGGUGGCGAAGGCGGCCUACUGGACUGUAACUGACGUUGAGGCUCGAAGGCGUGGGGAGCAAACAGGAUUAGAUACCCCUGUAGUC